This 499-nucleotide ribosomal RNA is filed under the name uncultured bacterium. Its description in RNAcentral is "partial 16S ribosomal RNA". It matches the Rfam family "Bacterial small subunit ribosomal RNA", at positions 30 to 523 of the family's 1533-position model. The record is from RNAcentral.
AUUGAACGCUGGCGGCAUGCCUAACACAUGCAAGUCGAACGGUUUUGAGACUGCGGUUUCAAGAUAGUGGCGGACGGGUGAGUAACGCGUAGGAAUCUGCCUUGUAGAGGGGGACAACCCGGGGAAACUCGGGCUAAUACCGCAUAAUAAUAGCGAGAUGAAAGGGUGGGACCUUUGGGCCACUCGCUAUAAGAUGAGCCUGCGUUGGAUUAGCUAGUUGGUGGGGUAAAUGCCUACCAAGGCGACGAUCCAUAACUGGUCUGUGAGGAUGACCAGUGACACGGGGAGUGAGACACGGCACAUACUCCUACGGGUGGCAGCAGUAUGGAAUAUUGGACAAUUGGGGCAGCCCUGAUCGAUCAAUGCCUCGUGUGUGAAGAAGUCCUGCGGGUUGUAAAGCACUUUAAGCGAUGAGGAAGGAUGCUGUGUUAAUAGCAGCGUGUUUUGACGUUAGUCGCAGAAAAAGCACCGGCUAACUCUGUGCCAUCCGCCGCCGUAA